RNAcentral lists this transfer RNA (58 nucleotides) under Celtisaspis usubai. Its description in RNAcentral is "tRNA-Leu". Lineage: Eukaryota; Metazoa; Arthropoda; Insecta; Hemiptera; Aphalaridae. The record is from RNAcentral.
UAGUGACAGAUUAAAUGUAUUAAAUUUAAGCUUUAAGUAUGAAAUUUUUCCUUUAGAA